This 1366-nucleotide long non-coding RNA is filed under the name Sorghum bicolor (sorghum). RNAcentral describes it as "long non-coding RNA (SBIC_LNC001303)". Lineage: Eukaryota; Viridiplantae; Streptophyta; Magnoliopsida; Poales; Poaceae. The record is from RNAcentral.
AAGGCAAGGCUGAAAGGGGCGGGAAAAUCUGCUGCACCAUCUCCUUUGAGCAACCAGCCAAGUCAGAAUAUGGUCAUGUAUCAUGAAGCUAUGACAAUGAAAGCAAAAUCUGCAAGAGCUAAAAAGUACAACACCUAUUUGAAAAUGUUGGCAAUAGAUACCUCAAACUUCAAUGAAAAAGAAAAAACUAGGCAUGACAGCAUACUGGACCAGAUAGCAAAAGACUUGGCUGAGGAUUAGUGAGGAGUACAAAUGCAAUAAGAGAUGCAUGUAUCCCUAGUAUGUAGUGUAACUGUAGUUUUCAAGUUAAUUAGUUUAUGUAAUGUGUUGCAUGGUUGUACCCCUAGUAUUUAUUGUACUUGUUAUUUUUUUUAGUGUUGGCAGUGUAUUUGUAAUCAAAGCAGGUCUGUACCCCACUAUUAAUGAAACCAGCAGAUAGUUGUUGAGGAAAAUAUAGCUGUUGUGGUAUGGACAAAGCAUAUAGUUGUUGACAAAAAGGAUAAAAAAUGUAGCUGUUGAGAAAAGGACAAUAUUGUCUCAGCUAGAGUAUUAUGGCUUAUCCAAUUAAUUUAGGAUUGUAUGUUUCAAUUGAGUUGCUUUGUAAUAAUAUCUAUAAUAAAGCAAUUGUGCUCGUAUUGGUCUCUUCCUUUCAUUGUUCUCAGUUUGCAAAAAAAAAGGAAAUAAAUAGUCUCCAAAUAACUAGUCCAUGCGAACGAACUAAAUCAGUAGAGAUUCGAGGUAGAAAUACCUGAGCCAAGGCUUCUGCUUGUUGAUGCAUGUGCUUGCUCGCUGUGAGAUGGCCUUGGACGCACGAGAUCAUCGGCCAUUCGCUCGCCACGGGAGUUCGUUGCGCCGGCCGUCCGCGCACCACGGGAGCUCACCUCGCCGGCCGUCUGCGAGGUGGCUGCGCCUCAGGUCGCCAGCAGUACGAGAGGAGGCCGCGUCCGUCGUCGGCCGUUCGCGAGGGGGACCGCGCCCCAGGUCGUCGGGCGUCCGCAAGGUCGCCGCUCAAAGCCACCCGAUCUGAAUUUGGAGACUUCAUCAGGACAGGAAGCUACAGAUCCUAGUUCAUGCAGUACUUGAGGAGCUGGACAUGGAAGGGCAUGGCCUGAUUUGGUGGAAGGGGGGAGAUCGGGGACGGAGAUGACGGAGGCGGCGGCGGGCGGAGUUUUCCAGCAACUUGCGCGAAGGAUACGAGAGGUUGAGGAGGACCGAGAUUUUUAAUCCAUCAUGGGACCCACUUCUAUGGCCAGGUUGAGCCCUAUACAUUGUGGCGUUUGGAAUAACUAGUGCCAUCUGCUGUGGGACCCAUUCAUAUAGACUGGUUGAUCCCUGUAUAUUGUGGUUGCUCUAAAAGGGGUUGUAG